Molecule: ribosomal RNA, 349 nt
Filed under: Astropecten polyacanthus
Lineage: Eukaryota; Metazoa; Echinodermata; Asteroidea; Paxillosida; Astropectinidae
Description: partial 12S ribosomal RNA
Rfam family: Bacterial small subunit ribosomal RNA
Source: RNAcentral
CAAAACACCAGAGAACUACGAACUAAAGUUUAAAACUCAAAGGACUUGGCGGUUUUUUAGAUCUCCCUGGAGGAGCUUGCUAUCUAACCGAUAACCCACGAAAAACCUUACCAGCUAUUGAAAAAUCAGCCUGUAUACCAUCGUCGUCAGUCUACCUCCCAAGAGAAGUUUUCAUAAAGAAUUUUUCUUCCCCACGUCAGAUCGAGGUGCAGCUAAUUAGCUGGCGAUCAGUGAGCUACAAUAAAACUCCAACAGUCAAAUACUUCUAUGAACAGUUUUUUGAAAAAAAAACCAGAAAUAGGAUUCAGUAGUAACGCUUACUAGAUAAUAGGCGUGAAACUCCCCCUCU